Salvia splendens (bonfire salvia) is the source of this 3683-nucleotide long non-coding RNA. RefSeq lists it as uncharacterized. The record is from RefSeq and is a predicted model, not a curated record. The transcript has 16 exons. NCBI's taxonomy places the organism in Eukaryota, Viridiplantae, Streptophyta, Magnoliopsida, Lamiales, Lamiaceae.
CAAACCUUUAUAUUAGAAUGAGUUAUUUUGAUGAUACAAUCUCAUUUCUAUAUGUUUAAACAUAUGUGUGCCUGCUUUAGAUUAUGAAGCACAAGUCCGAAUAGCAGCUGCCGAAAAGGAGGAGCUAACUUGUAAAGGAGGCAAGAUGAGAGAAGAAAUGCCUAACCUCCAUCACCUAACUUCCCACGCAAACAAGGGAUUAUUUUGUUUCCCCUCACAUUUUUUUUCCUUCACAUAAAGGGCAAUGUUAAGAUUAAGAUUUGGGGGCUAUGCCACGGAGCCUGAUGAGAAACUUAUAUGAAACGCAACACAUUUGAUGGUAGCAAGGUUGACAGGAAGUGUUGCUAAUGUAACUUGAACCUUUACGUGGUUCUAUAUCAAGCCAACUCAGAAGGUCACUUCAGGGGCUUGGCUAUGCAAGUCGUCUUCUAGAGCUGUCAUUUCAGCAGGAAUCACAAACGGAGUUGACACCGAUGAAUGGAAUCCAUCCACUGAUACACAUCUUCCUCGAUUGAUAACCGCUCUGGAAAUGUUGUGGUUGAGUGUAAGGCUGCAUAGCAAGGAGAACUCAGUCCCGUGUUGAGAGCGCUACUUCAGUGUUGAUAAGUUCUAGAGAUGUCCAUUGAUCUUCAAUAGUGAGGUGUUAUAGUUGUAACCACUACUCAGGAACUAACCCAGAGUUGUCCUAGUUCUCACUUCCGGUAUAGGGGUGUGAUCCGGCAUCACCCCUUACUUGCUUUCUACUCAAACUAGUAUGUAUUCUAUCCUCUUUACAUUUUCUUAUCCUUCACAUUGAGGGUAAUGUUUAGAAUAGUUUUGAGGUGUGGGUGUUUGCGUGCAUUCUUCUUUUUGGGGUUGUAAUUUAUCCUAUUUGUGUGUAUAUGUAAGGUUUUCUCUCUAUUAAUUGUCACCAGAAACACUUUUUAAUGGUUUAUUAGUGUAGACUUAGUUUCUCUCAAGGGUUGGAGAACUAAGAUUCCUAAUUUAAAACACCGUACUUAUUAAUAUUUUAAUAUGUGAAAAUGAAUUUGUGAUGCUGAACAAGACCAAGUACAUAUAUUUUCUAUGGUCUUUUGAAAUUUUCUCUAUGGAGUGUGGUGAACGUGGAGUUUGUUGAGGUUUUUUUUCCGUUGAAUGGGAUUUACUUUUUAAAGCAAUAAUACUAGCAAAUAACUGAUAUAUAAAAACUUUGGUAAAGGCUUGUGUUAAUUUAGUCUAUUGAGUAUGGGGUUUGGAAUUCAUAUUCUUUGUAUUUUGUCCUUGUUGCCUUUUUUAAUCUUGUUUACAUGCAGUCCAAACCAGUGAUGGGGAAAUAGACCAACAACUUUCUAUUAGGAGAAAGCAUAGAGACAGUGUUGUGCCACUUUUUUUUAUGCUAGCAUUUAUGUGCAAGGUCAAGUGAACCUCUUGUCCUAAGCUAGGCCACCUGUCACAUUCACAAAACGAGUUUAUGAGGUGAUUCUCUGACAAAUUCUAGGACAUCUAAGUUGAUUCAGUUUGCUCAUUUUCUAGGCAAGAAUCGAUCCAUCCAGAGCUCAAAUGCAUUUCCAGUUUGCCCCUCCACUUCAUUAGUAGGUGGACUUUCCUGGAAAUUUCAUCUUUACUUCUGACCGAAUGAGUGUUAGCACUGGAAUUGGUGCUAUUCCCCACACACCUGAAAUUUGCUCUGACGAGAUGGAUCCUGUUGAAUCCCAGAUUCCUACAAGGUUUGUUUAGUUUAUGGUUUCUUUUGAUUUUUAUACCAUUUAUUAAUUAUUUGUUGUUGUUUUCCUGUGACUAAACCCUGCGAGCAACAAAAACAAAAUUGAAUCAAAUUAGUAAAAUUAUGGUGAUCAUUUUUAGUUCCUUCAUCUCACAUUGCAAUUAGCGAUGGUCCACAAACUCUUGAAAAUGACAUAAUUCCUUCAUUCCUUCUUGCUUGGGCCAGCUACUAAUGGAACCUUCCAGUUACGCAAAAGAACCUGGAAAUGCUACACAUCCACUAAUGCAACUGUCUUCCGAGCAUCCCGAGACAAAUGUCUCUGAGCCAUUUAUAACCUUUGGUGAUGCAUUGCGUAUGUACCAUACUAUCUCAUAGAAGGAUAAUAUUUCCGAUGAUGACUAUAUAAUUUAAUAAGCUAGGCUCGGUCUAGAAGUGGGAAUGAGGUCAAUCCUACAAGAUAAUGAAGCACAAGCAUGAAUAGCAUAUGCCGAAAAGGUCACUAAUUCUGUUGGAUUCCUUAUCUGGAACUUGCUGUCCAACAUAUUAGGAGUUACGGAGGAGCUAACUUCUAAAGGAGGCAAGAUGAGAGAAGAAAUGCAUAACCCCCAUCACCUAACUUCCCACGCAAACAAGGGAGUAUUUUGUUUCCCCUCACAUUUUUUUCCUUCACAUAAAAGGGCAAUGUUAAGAUUAAGAUUUGGGGUAGGGUGUUUGUGUGCGUGCUUGAUUAUGUGGUUGUAAAUAAUUUGAUUACUCUAUCUCCGAUGUGUUGAUUCUGAAGGACCCUUUUUUCAGUAGUGUAUAUAACCAUGCGAAUACUAAAGAAGUUAUGUAUUUUUAAAUGGCAGGACUAUGCCAUGCCAUGGAGCCUGAUGAGAAACUUAUGCGAAAUGAAGCAGAUUUGAUGGUAGCAAGGUUGGCAGGAAGUCUUGCUAAUGUAACUUAUUUGGAACCUUUACGUGGUCCAGUGUCAAGCCAACUCAGAAGGUCACUUCAGGGCUUGGCCAUAGCAAAUGAUCUUCUAGAGUAGUCAUUUUAGCUUGUGACUAAUGGAAUCACAGGCGGCGAUGACACCGAUGAAUAGAAUCCAUCUACUGAAACACAUCUUUCUCUAUUAAUAGCCGCUCUGGAAAUGUUGUGAUACACAAAAAAUUUUGUCCAAACCAUUUAAUGGGGAAAUAGAUCGAUUACUUUCAAACGGGAGCCCUUUAUCCAAAGCCAGGGCAUGUGUCACAUUCACAACGAGUUUAUGAGAAUCGAUCAACCCAGAGCUCAAAUGCAUUUCCAGUUCGCCCCUCGGCUUCAUCAGGAGGUGGAUUAUCCAGGCAAUUUGCAUCUCUACUUCUGACCAAAUGAGUGCUAGCAUUUACUCAUCUGGCCUUGUUAACACUGGAAUUGGGGCUAUGCCCCAUACACCGGAAAUCGACUCUACCGAGAUAGAACCUGUUGGAUCCCAGAAUCCUACAAGGGAGGAGCUAUUAACUUCUAAAGGAAGUAAGAUGAGAGAAGAAAUACCUAACGCCCAUCACCUAACUUCCCAUGCAAACAAGGGAGUAUUUUGUUUUCCCUCACAUUUUUUUUCCUUCACAUAAAGGGCAAUGUUAAGAUUAAGAUUUGGGGUGAGGGUGUUUGUGUGCAUGCUUGAUUAUGUGGUUGUAAAUAAUUUGAUUACUCUAUCUCUGAUGUGUUGAUUCCGAAGGACCCUUUUUUCCAUAGUGUAUAUAACAAUUUGAAUGCUAAAGAAGUUAUGUGUUUUUAAAUGGCAGGUCUAUGCCACGGAGCCUGAUGAGAAACUUAUACGAAAUGCAGCACAUUUGUAGUAGCAAGGUUGACAGGAAGUCUUGCUAAUGUAACCUGUAGGUAUAGAUAACCUUUGCUUUCUACUUUCUUGUGUUAUAAAUGUUAAUGAUCUUGUGAAUUGUCAGAACACUACUGAUGAAUUGUCAGAACACUACUGAAUUGUCAGAACACUACUGAUGAA